RNAcentral lists this non-coding RNA (165 nucleotides) under bovine gut metagenome. The record is from RNAcentral.
UCGGUAGCCAAAAGGUAAUAGGGAAACAGGUGUAAAUCCUGUACAGACGCGCUGCUGUAAAUCUCAUUUGCCGUACCCACGGCAUUUCUGCCACAAGCCACUAUUCCUCAGGGAACGGGAAGGCGGUAGAAAGAGACAAGUCAGAAAACCUGCCAUCGAAGAUUU